UGGGGAAUAUUGCACAAUGGGCGCAAGCCUGAUGCAGCAACGCCGCGUGAACGAUGAAGGUCUUCGGAUCGUAAAGUUCUGUUGCAGGGGAAGAUAAUGACGGUACCCUGUGAGGAAGCCCCGGCUAACUACGUGCCAGCAGCCGCGGUAAUACGUAGGGGGCUAGCGUUAUCCGGAUUUACUGGGCGUAAAGGGUGCGUAGGUGGUCUUUCAAGUCGGUGGUUAAGGGCUACGGCUCAACCGUAGUUAGCCUCCGAAACUGGAAGACUUGAGUGCAGGAGAGGAAAGUGGAAUUCCCAGUGUAGCGGUGAAAUGCGUAGAUAUUGGGAGGAACACCAGUAGCGAAGGCGGCUUUCUGGACUGCAACUGACACUGAGGCACGAAAGCGUGGGUAGCAAACAGG
This 403-nucleotide ribosomal RNA is filed under the name Verrucomicrobiota bacterium. Its description in RNAcentral is "Verrucomicrobia bacterium partial 16S ribosomal RNA". It matches the Rfam family "Bacterial small subunit ribosomal RNA", at positions 355 to 776 of the family's 1533-position model. The record is from RNAcentral. Lineage: Bacteria; Pseudomonadati; Verrucomicrobiota.